AUUGAACGCUGGAGGCGUGCUUAACACAUGCAAGUCGUGCGAGAAAGGGACUUCGGUCCUGAGUAGAGCGGCGCACGGGUGAGUAACGCGUGGGUAAUCUCCCUUGGUGACCGGGAUAACAGCGGGAAACUGCUGCUAAUACUGGAUAAUCUUCAUGUUUAACUUCAUGGGGUAAAGGUGGCCUCUGCUUGCAAGCUACCACAUCAAGAUGAGCCCGCGUCUCAUUAGCUAGUUGGUAGGGUAAUGGCCUACCAAGGCUACGAUGAGUAGCUGGUCUGAGAGGAUGACCAGCCACACUGGGACUGGAACACGGCCCAGACUCCUACGGGAGGCAGCAGUGGGGAAUUUUGGACAAUGGGCGAAAGCCUGAUCCAGCCAUUCCGCGUGCAGGAUGAAGGCCCUCGGGUUGUAAACUGCUUUUGUACGGAACGAAAAGGCUCUUGCUAAUACCAGGAGUCCAUGACGGUACCGUAAGAAUAAGCACCGGCUAACUACG
Molecule: ribosomal RNA, 496 nt
Filed under: uncultured bacterium
Lineage: Bacteria
Description: bacterial SSU rRNA
Rfam family: Bacterial small subunit ribosomal RNA
Source: RNAcentral